Molecule: transfer RNA, 69 nt
Filed under: Sphaerodactylus townsendi
Lineage: Eukaryota; Metazoa; Chordata; Lepidosauria; Squamata; Sphaerodactylidae
Description: tRNA-Ala
Source: RNAcentral
GCUUUCGCUCAGCGGUAGAGCAUCUGCUUGGCGUGGAGAAAAUCCCAGGUUCAGUUCUUGGCAUCUCCA